ACGAACGCUGGCGGCAGGCCUAAAACAUGCAAGUCGAGCGCCCUAGCAAUAGGGAGCGGCGCACGGGUGAGUAACACGUGGGAAUAUGCCUUUUGGUACGGAAUAGCUUCGGGAAACUGGAAUUAAUACCGUAUGGUCCCUUCGGGGUAAAGAUUUAUCGCCAAAAGAGUAGCCCGCGUUGGAUUAGCUAGUUGGUAGGGUAAUGGCCUACCAAGGCGACGAUCCAUAGCUGGUCUGAGAGGACGAUCAGCCACACUGGGACUGAGACACGGCCCAGACUCCUACGGGAGGCAGCAGUUAGGAAUAUUGGACAAUGGGCGCAAGCCUGAUCCAGCCAUGCCGCGUGAGUGAUGAAGGCCUUCGGGUUGUAAAGCUCUUUAGUCCACGAAUAUAAUGACUGUAGUGGAAGAAUAAGCCCCGGCUAACUUCGU
This 431-nucleotide ribosomal RNA is filed under the name uncultured bacterium. RNAcentral describes it as "bacterial SSU rRNA". It matches the Rfam family "Bacterial small subunit ribosomal RNA", at positions 29 to 506 of the family's 1533-position model. The record is from RNAcentral.